AAGGGUAUUCUCAGGAAAUUGGAAUGUACCAUGGGGACAAGAGAAAACACAUUGGGAAGGAGACCCUUGAAAUUGUGUAGAGAAUCCUGGGCUCACUGUCAACCUGUGCAAAUGUAAGGAUCAGAUCUUACUUAACAUUUCAAAGACUGAAAACUGAGAUACAGAUUGGGUUCCACCCAGGUUGCAGACUGACCACUGGGUGGCGUGCCCAUGCGAAAAACCCAGAUAGCAUUAUAAAGGCUUUGAAUACUGAACUGACACUGCAACCACAACCUACAGAAAACAUAUUGGAAUUUGCAGCUUAACCUAACCAACUCCCUGUGAAAACAAAGAUAUCAAUAUACUCCAUAGGAAUCAGGAAGAUCCUGAGUUUCAUAGCAUAUUAUUAAAAGUGUCUAGGAUGGAUUUCCCUGGUGGUUCACUGGGGGAAAGAUCUGGCAUUAUCUCUGCUGUGACUCAGAUCACUGCUGUGGCAUAGGUUUGGUCCCUGGCCCAAGAACUUCUGCAUGCUGUGGUCAUGGUCAAGAGAAAAGAGAAAGAAAAAUGUCAAAGAUAUAAUCCACAAGUACUCAAUAUGCAGAGAAACACAAAUACCUCAACUCACUAAUAGACAAUAUUGACAAGGUAAUGUAGAUGUUUAAGUCAUUUGACAAAGACUUUAAACUUAAGCUAAACAUAUCAGGAAAGAAAUACGUGGUAUAAAGAGGACUCGAACAUAAUUUUAAAACUGAAAAAUAGAAUAAUCAUAAAAAUUCACUGAUUAGAGCCAUUGGCAGAAUGAAGAGGAAAGAGAAGUCACUGAACUUCAUAGAGCACUAGAAAAUUUUAAAUCUGAACAAUAUAGAGAAAAAUGAUAGGGAAAAAUCAUAAGAGCUUCAGAGAACUCUGGGCCAGUAACAUAAGGGCUAACAUUUGUGUCACUGGAGUCCCAGAAGGAGAGGAGAAAUAGUGUGAUGAGGAAAAACAUAUUUGAAGACACACUGGCUGAAAAUUAUAAUUGUGUUAAAAUUCAUAGAACUGUGCACCAAAGGGAAAAAAGUCACUUUUACUGUAUGAGAAUUUAGAAUAAAUUUAACAAUGGGAUAUAUUAUAGUGUGAUGAUAUGUAAUUUUUAUUUAGCAGUGAUAAUCCUGGACUUGUUUGACCUUAGCAAUUCCUGGUUUCACAGUUGAUGGGGAAGCCUUUUGCUUUCCCACCUUAUUACCUGAAGUGAAUUAAUAAUUUGGUGUGACUAGUAGUAGCAAGAUGUUUAGUUUCUAUUUCUUUUUUUUUUUUUUUAAGAUCACUUCUUAGUGCAUGUGAUAAUUUGGCUUAUUAUACCUUUUUUUCUGUACUUUAUUAUAAGUUUCCUACUUACAAGGAGUUGGGAGAAUGUGGACAGCCCUAAGAAAGAUAGAAAGUAGAUUCUUAUUUUUUCUAUAUAAUUUUAUAGAAUGUUAGUAAAAAUUGGCAGCUUUGCUUAUUUAAUUCUAAAAAUGUGCCAUUAACUCAAUACCUCUAAUUUCACAGCUCUGUAGUUAUUUGGCAGGGGUUUUGCAGGUUCGAAGGGAAAGUAAACACCAAAUUAUCUAUUAGAAGAGAAAAGAAAUGGCAAUGGUUCAGAAUUGGAUGCUAUGAAUUGACACAUAAGAAUCAGUAUAAAUGCUGUUCGCUCUCUAAAAGAAUGUCUGACUAAGCUGUUCAUUCUUUAGAAUUCUUUAAUGAUAUGGUAUUGAUGAAAUUGAGACAUAAAUAAUGUAUAUUUCAAUUUCAAUUUUAUAAGUGAGCCACUUUACAUUAUUAUUAUCAUGUUAGUUUUGGUAGUACCCAUUUGAAUUUGGAUACGAUUACCAGUCCUUUAAGUAAGUGACUGCUUAUUUUCUUGGGUGUGCUAAGUGAUGGGUGUUGAAAUUGAUCAAAUUUUUAGAUUUUAGUCUCCAAGGCAAGAUCGAUCUCAAGACAAGUUGAUUUACCGGUUAUCUUAUUUAUUGCUUUUUCUUUUGCUAUAUGUUUUGUCUCUGCAGUUAACCAUUUCUAAGUAGACUAGAAGAGGUUUUGGCAUUCAGCUCAAUAAAAUGUUGCCAUUUGUGAAAGGCAUUAUAAUGUUGGAGAGGCAGAAGUGAGUGCCUUUAAGAUCAUCAGGGAUUUUAGUAUGUUUAUCUCUGUUCCUUAUGAAUGUGCAUAGGUUCAUAAGUUACGAAAACUAAUUUAACAUUAAUAGAAGAUGUUUAAUAAGUUUUUAUAUAGGUAUAUAUGUAUGACGUAUAAGGAUAUGUAAACAGUUCACAAAACAUUUCUAUUUUUUAAUUUUGGGCUGCAAGUACAGCAUAUGGAAGGUCCUAGCCUGGGAACCUCCAUAUGCUGCAGGUGCGGCCCUGGAAAAGGCAAAAAGAUAGAUAGAUAGAUAGAUAGAUAGAUAGAUAGAUAGAUAGAUAGAUAGAUAGAACGAACCAAGAUUUAGAGAAUUUAGGUGACAUUCUCGGAACCAUACAGUUAAUAAACACUGGAAUCGUGACUUGAACAUGGACCUAGAAAGUUAACUCCCCGCAAUGUUAAUCCAUUUACAAUAGUAACAUCUUUUAAAAAGUAGUGAGAAUCUUUAAGUUUACUAUUUGAAAAAGGGAUGUUGUUACUUAAAAUUCUGUUUUCUGUGAUUUUCGCUGUUAUUAGGGACAUACAACAUCUCAUUGUGUGGGAACUAUAGGAGAAACAAUACUAACACAUAAACUAUUUCCCUCAGUGUAUAAAUUCCCAGACCUCUGCACAUGUUUUAGGAAAUAAUUAAAAUAAUACUAAUUAACAUUUACUGAGUGCUUUCUUUGUGUACUUAAUAUGAGUUAUCCUUACAACCCCCUCUAUGAGAUAGUGUAGUUAUUUUCUUUACGAUGAAGAAAGUCUUUGAUAUCUAUGUGAUUUCUCCAAGAUUAUAUAGGCACAAUAAUUAAUUAAGGAUUUGAUUUGUUAAAAUGAUACAGUGUUUCCUGGGUGAAUAAUUUUAUUAGAAUAAUAGCAUUAAAACUGUUUGUGGUCAGCUCAUUACAUAUGCUUUUGAUGAACUCUGAAGGAUGGCUUAGAUAUGUUAAAAUUUUCUUAAUUUUAUUCUUUGUUUAUAUCCUGGACAAAAAAGACAGAUCUGAAGAUCUUGGCCUGAUAUUCAUGGGGUAUUAUUAGAAAUGUGGAUCAAGAUCAGAUUGUAAGAAGCCUUGACUGACAAAUUUGAGGCACCCAUGAAAGAUUUUGAAGCAGUAUUUGGGGAGACUUCUACUAAGUGUAGUGUGGAAUGGAUUGAAUAGAAUACCACUGAUGAGGGUAACAAAGGCAUCUUGAUGUAAAUAAAUGUCUGGAUCAGGGAAAUAAUAGUACUAAAAUAAAAUAGUUGGAGAGGAUCUAUUUUAAAACUGUAUUUUGUAAUUUGACAUUAACUUCAUCCUGUUAUAUACCUAGUAGUUGAAUAGCUGAGUCGUAUGGUGUAUGUUUUAGUAUUUUGAGGACCUGGCAAACUGCUUUCCAGAGUGGCUGCACCAUUUUACAUUGUCACUAGCAGUGUAAGAGGGUUCCAGUUUCUUCACAUCCUGGCCAGCAAUUGUGAAUAUGUGUCUUUCUCAUUUUAGCCGUUCUGGUGGGUGUGAGGUAAUACUUCAUUUUGGUCUUGCUUCGCAUUUCCCUUAUGGCUAAUGAUGAUGAUGUUGAACAUCUUUUCAGGUGCUCAUUGGCUGUUUCUAUAUCUUCUUUAGAGAACUGUCUGUUCAAAUUGCUCAGUUAAAAAUUAGUUUUUGUGAUUGAGUUGUCAUAGUUCUUAUAUACUAGAUGCAAGUCCUUUAUCAGAUGUAUGAUUCUGUUGUCCUUUCAGUUUCUUUCAAUUAUCAUGAUGUCCAGUUACCUACUUUUUCUUUAAUGUUUGUAUUCUUAGUGCCAUAUGUUGGAGACUUUUAAAUGGAGCAAAGUAAAGAAAGAAGCAAGCCCUGUUGUCAUUGUCUCCUUUGUGGAGGGAUUUUUUUGAGGCUUUUCUUAUAAUCAUAGGAUUUGGGCAACUGCAAGUAACUAACUUUUGGGAUGGUAUGCUUAUUUAAUAGUUAAGGUGAGAAGGUCCACUUUUUUUUCCAUGGACAAAGAAAUAAACUUUUUAAAAAGGAUCUUUUUUUGUUUUGUUUUGUUUUGUUUUGUUUUGCUUUUUAGGGCCACACUUGUGGCAUGUAGAAGUGCCUAUGCUAGGGGCCCAAUCAGAGCUAUAGCUGCCAGCCUGUGCCACAGCAACGCAGGAUCCAAGCCAUGUCUGCAACCUGCACCACAGCUCACAGCAACACAGGAUCCUUAAUCCACUGAACGAGGCCAGGGAUCGAACCUCUGUGCUCAUGGAUACUAGUCGGAUUUCUUUACAUUGCGCCACAACAGGAACUCCAAGGGAUCGUUUUCUUAAAUUGAUAGUUGUGAGAUGAUAAAAUACAUAUAGUCGGAAAUAUUAUUCUAGUAGUUUGGAAAAAUCACUUCCUCCCUAGAUUUUAAAGACUAGUACAGACUAACUAUAAAGUAAGAUGGGUAGGGAGUAGAUAGAUCCAGGGAUUCAGUGUAGAUAUAAUGCAGAGGAGAGAAAGAGAUAAAGAAGCAGUCCUGGCUGUUAUUUUCUUAUGAUCAUGAGUGUUAGUAGCAAUUGUGACUACCUUGGAAUAUUAUUCACUUUCUUAGGUGUAUUUGUUUCAUUUCUUUCAUUUUUUUAUGCUGCAAGAAGAGCCCUUGCUUUUUAAUGGGCAAAUUAAUGGAAAGGUAGGAUCUGUUGUAGUACUAAUUUGCAUCCCUCCCCCAAUCUCUCUCUCUAACACACACACCUUAGUUACAGCAGAAAGUCAUUAUUUCUUGUUCAGUGAAGACUUUCUACUGGUGUUAAAUGUGUGUAUAUUGACCCAAAUCAAAUAUUAUAUUACAGUCAACAUUGUAAUAUGAUAUAAACCAUGUUUAGAACAGCUUGAUGGAUUUCUAGAGGAAUGUUUUAAUUACAAAAUAAAAUAGUCUUUAAAGUAAAAUAGUAUUUCUUAUACAUUUGAGCCAAAAUAACAUUUAGGUGAAAAAUUUCUCUCUCAGUUUUACUAGAAAGAGGUUGAAUUGGCUUUUAACUCAUAAUGUCUGACUGGAAGCUGGGUUAGGGAAAGUUGUCAGUAAAAGAAAAGUGUCUCAGUACUAUUUUGUACUAUUCACAGAUUGAAUUUUUGAGAUCCUAUGUUUCAGAUUUCUAGAGGUGACUCACCUGUAUGUAAAUCUACUCUUAUGCAUGCAUUCUCACCAAAGCAUGUCCCUCCUUUAAUUAGGAAAGGACAAUUAAAAUAUUAUUUGUAUGGAAGUAAAAGGAAAAGAAGCCAUAGAGUUUACCUCAGUUUUUUGUUUGUUUUUGUUUUUUCCUUUUUGCCACUGCACCUCUGGCAUGUGGAAGUUCCUGGGCUAGGGGUCAAAUUGGAGCUGCAGCUCCAGGCCUUCACCAGAACCAUGGCAACACUGGAUCUGAGCCAUAUCUGCAACCUACGCCAUAGCUUGCAACAGUGCCAGAUCUUUAACCCACUGAAUGAGGCCAGGGAUUGAACCCGAAUCAUCAUGGACACUUAACCCACUGAGACACAACAGGAACUCCUAAAAUAUUUUUGUUCUUUAAAAAAACCUUUUUGUUAUUUUAAAAGGAAAUUGCUACUUUAGGAAUGGGAAAGGAAGAAUAGGAAGAUCUGUAUUUUUCUUUAGUCCUUUUCUGAGUAUACUGAACACAUGGAUGUAAAACCUGGAAUUAUAAUAAAGUGUAGUGGUUCCCUGGGCUCAAGCAAGGAUGUGCAUGUCCUGGGUACUAUAAUUGAUUGAGAGUUGGAGACAUCAGGUAGGUGAUUUAGCCUUUCUGGCAUGUUUUUUACAUGUUGGAAUGAGGAAAGGGGAAAAGGUACUCCAAAUUCUGUGAUAUCUAUGGUAGAGUGCCUUGCCUAGCUUUUACCUUUUAGGUGAUUCCAUCCCCUAAACCUCUUUUGCUCUUGACAUACAUGUAACUAAUUAUUUGGUCCAGACUGCUUGGCAUGGCCUUACGCAUUUUGGAUCUUUCAUUCACAAAAAAUUUGUCUAAAGUCUUCUAGUAUUUUUUUAAUUUUUUAAUUAAUAUGCCUCAAUGUACAUUGUAGACUGUCUUCUGCUUCUAGUAUUUUAGGGUUGAGCAAGGAUUCAUGUUCACUUCUCUGGGUAAUUGAUGCUUUAAUGGAGAUUUCACUAAUUAUUACUAUGUAAUAUGUAUUAUUAUGACUAUGUAAACAGAGCUUGGGUUGUUUUUACUUACAUAUUUGCCUGUAUUGAAAAUCAUCUGCUACUUUAUCCCAUUUAUGAGGCCCUGUGAAACAUUCUAAGAAUAGUCUUAGCAUUUUCCUAGUCAGAAUUUAUUGUCAUUUGCACACCCAGCCAUUUAACUUGGUUUCCCCAUCCAGGUUAUUUAUCUUUUCUGAUCAUUUGUGGAAUGCAUUUACACUUCUCCAUCUCUGUCAGUAAAUGUUUUUCCUGGCCUUGGUCUUGUUUUUCUGUGAAACCUUUAAGGAGGACCAAACAAACAAACAAACAAAAUCCUUUAUUCCGUCUGACUUGUGAUUUCGUUUUUCCUGUUGCUUUGAAUAGUUCACAUUACAAAAUCUUUUUCAAAAUCUUUAAAGAGGACAGGAGUUCCUUCUGUCGUCUUGGGGGUCCGACAUUAUCUCUGUGAUGGCGUGGAUUUGAUUCCUAGCCUGUUGCAGGGGGUUAAGGAUACAACAUCACCACAGCUGUGGUGUGGGUCGCAGCUGUGGCUCGGAUUUGAUUCCUGGCCUGGGAAGUUUCAUAUGACGCAUGUAUGGCCAAAAAAGAAAAAAAAAAAA
RNAcentral lists this long non-coding RNA (6839 nucleotides) under Sus scrofa (pig). Its description in RNAcentral is "lncRNA (ENSSSCG00050077019.1)". Lineage: Eukaryota; Metazoa; Chordata; Mammalia; Artiodactyla; Suidae. The record is from RNAcentral.